RNAcentral lists this ribosomal RNA (301 nucleotides) under uncultured bacterium. Its description in RNAcentral is "partial 16S ribosomal RNA". It matches the Rfam family "Bacterial small subunit ribosomal RNA", at positions 509 to 807 of the family's 1533-position model. The record is from RNAcentral.
CAGCAGCCGCGGGAAUACGAAGGGUGCAAGCGUUAAUCGGAAUUACUGGGCGUAAAGCGUGCGUAGGCGGUGAGUUAAGUCUGCUGUGAAAUCCCCGGGCUCAACCUGGGAAUGGCAGUGGAUACUGGCUCGCUAGAGUGUGUCAGAGGAUGGUGGAAUUCCCGGUGUAGCGGUGAGAUGCGUAGAGAUCGGGAGGAACAUCAGUGGCGAAGGCGGCCAUCUGGGACAACACUGACGCUGAGGCACGAAAGCGUGGGGAGCAAACAGGAUUAGAUACCCCCGUAGUCCCUGUCUCUUAUAC